Molecule: long non-coding RNA, 315 nt
Organism: Hordeum vulgare subsp. vulgare (domesticated barley)
Lineage: Eukaryota; Viridiplantae; Streptophyta; Magnoliopsida; Poales; Poaceae
Exons: 3
Source: RefSeq, a predicted model, not a curated record
CUUCUGCUAUGUUGAUAAAAGAUUGAAGGAUCGUUGUGAGGCACAUCGAUGUCACGAGUUCGUCGCUGCCAUCGGCAUGGGCUCCGUCAUGAUGAUUUUGAUCUGUGGAUACUCUCUAGGGGUAUGGUAUGGAGCCACGCUGAUCAUAGAGAAGGGAUACACUGGUGCCCGGCUCAUCAAUGCCAUCUUUGCGGUGCUUACCCACUCGCUAUAAGAAAGAGAAGGUAUGUUUCACAACCAUCAAAGGUUGAUGCUGGGUGGCAUCGUCCUGGCCGUCGGGCACCAUCGCGAGUUCUUCCUUGAUGGUAUUGUCAU